GACGAACGCUGGCGGCGUGCUUAACACAUGCAAGUCGAACGGAAAGGCCCUGAUAUCGUGGGGUGCUCGAGUGGCGAACGGGUGAGUAACACGUGAGUAACCUGCUCUUCACUUUGGGAUAACUUCAGGAAAGUGGGGCUAAUACCGGAUAGGAGAUCCUGCUGCAGGGAGGGGGUUGGAAAUUUUCGGCGGUUGGGGCUGGACGAGCGGCUUAUCAGCUUGUUGGUGGGGGGGGGGCAGGCCAAGGAUUUGAAGGGUAGGCCGCUGGGGAGGGUGACCGGCCACCUUGGGCCUGAGGUACGCCCCAGACUCCUACGGUAGGCAGCAGUGGGGAACCUUGCACAAUGGGCCGACGCCUGAUGCAGCAGCCCCGCGUUCGUAAUGACGUCCUUCUGGUUGUAAACCGCUUUCGCCUGUGACGACGCGGUAGUGACGGUACUGAGUAAAGAAGCACCGGCUAACUACGUG
This 468-nucleotide ribosomal RNA is filed under the name uncultured bacterium. RNAcentral's name for it is "partial 16S ribosomal RNA". It matches the Rfam family "Bacterial small subunit ribosomal RNA", at positions 28 to 507 of the family's 1533-position model. The record is from RNAcentral.